GACGAACGCUGGCGGCGUGCUUAACACAUGCAAGUCGAACGGAAAGGCCCUGCUCUUGUGGGGUGCUCGAGUGGCGAACGGGUGAGUAACACGUGAGUAACCUGCCCUUGACUUUGGGAUAACUUUAGGAAACUGGGGCUAAUACCGGAUAGGAGCUCCUGCUGCAUGGUGGGGGUUGGAAAGUUUCGGCGGUUGGGGAUGGACUAGCGGCUUAUCAGCUGGUUGGUGGGGUAGUGGCUUUCCAAGGCUUGGAAGGGUAGCCGGCCUGAGAGGGUGACCGGCCACAGUGGCACUGGGAAGCGAGCCAUACGCCUUCGGGAGGCAUCAGUGAAAGAUAGUGCACAAUGCGCGGAAGCCGGAUGCAACGUCUCCGGGUGCGGGAUGACGGCCUUCGGGGUGGAAACCGCGUGCGCCUGUGACGAAGCGUGAGUGAGGGUAAUGGGUAAAGAAGCACCGGCUAACUACGU
This 467-nucleotide ribosomal RNA is filed under the name uncultured bacterium. RNAcentral describes it as "partial 16S ribosomal RNA". It matches the Rfam family "Bacterial small subunit ribosomal RNA", at positions 28 to 506 of the family's 1533-position model. The record is from RNAcentral.